Long non-coding RNA from Pollicipes pollicipes, 383 nucleotides. RefSeq lists it as uncharacterized. The record is from RefSeq and is a predicted model, not a curated record. NCBI's taxonomy places the organism in Eukaryota, Metazoa, Arthropoda, Thecostraca, Pollicipedomorpha, Pollicipedidae. The transcript has 3 exons.
GGUGAAAGGCGGCGUGACCCUCCGCUGCUACCGGUCAGCACGCGGCACGACCUCGACGGAGAGCUUCCACAACCACCUCGCCCGUUUUAUCCCAGGGACGACUGCUAGUGACCUGCACUACCAAGCGUUCCUGGUGGAGGGCCUGGUCCGUUGGAACGCGGACCGGUAUGCGGCGGCGUCGGACCAGGCUCCCGACCACCUACGCUUGCUACGACGGCCGCAUCAGAACUGCGGCCGCCGACCUGUACCGUCGGGUGUUCCGAAGGACCUGUUCCCCGGCGGGAUGAAGUCCUGCAGUACACUGGCGAGCUCGUCGGGGGGCGUACCUUUACGCCCAGACCGGCAAGCGCCUAGACGCCUACCACUCCACGGACCCGGACCAG